This is a long non-coding RNA of Bradysia coprophila, 494 nucleotides long. RefSeq lists it as uncharacterized. The record is from RefSeq and is a predicted model, not a curated record. Lineage: Eukaryota; Metazoa; Arthropoda; Insecta; Diptera; Sciaridae.
UAGCAGACAACAGUAUCUUGUGGUCCCCACACGGAGUAUAAUAAUCGAAUAAUGGUAAAAAUACUCAUUAUUUACGUUCUGGUUGCCUUUGUCGUAUCUAAUACGGAAGCCACCUGCUGGAAUGUAACCAGAGGUCCACAAUCGAAUACCAAAUGGUAUCUGGGCCUUGACAACACAGCAUACACUGCCGACGACCUAUCGCUGAAUGUAGAUAAUGUCAUUCUGAAGCAAUUGUAUCCCGCUAAUUGUCCCAGUACUUACGGAUGCGACAUUGUACGGUAUAAGAUUCAAUGGUUCAGUGGAUCGUGGAGUGGUGACUUUUACCCGGGCUCUCAGGACGUCUAUCAGAAGCCAGGUGAAAAUGCUCGACACUGGUGGGCCUGCUUCAAUGAUCACUCUCAUUCAUUUGAGUACUGCAACUGAGGUAUCGAAUUCGAUUCGUUAAAUUGAAAAUUCAAAUUCAAAUUGAAAUAAAAUUGAUUUGUCAGAAUUAA